RNAcentral lists this ribosomal RNA (248 nucleotides) under uncultured bacterium. Its description in RNAcentral is "partial 16S ribosomal RNA". It matches the Rfam family "Bacterial small subunit ribosomal RNA", at positions 335 to 600 of the family's 1533-position model. The record is from RNAcentral.
UUUCCUACGGGAGGCAGCAGUGAGGGAUAUUGGUCAAUGGGGGAAACCCUGGACCAGCAACGCCGCGUGAGGGAAGACGGUUUUCGGAUUGUAAACCUCUGUCCUCUGUGAAGAUAAUGACGGUAGCAGAGGAGGAAGCUCCGGCUAACUACGUGCCAGCAGCCGCGGUAAUACGUAGGGGGCAAGCGUUAUCCGGAUUUACUGGGUGUAAAGGGAGCGUAGACGGCGCGGCAAGUCUGAAGUGAAAG